Molecule: ribosomal RNA, 253 nt
Filed under: uncultured bacterium
Lineage: Bacteria
Description: partial 16S ribosomal RNA
Rfam family: Bacterial small subunit ribosomal RNA
Source: RNAcentral
GACAGAGGUGCCGAGCGUUAGGCGGAAUCACUGGGCUUAAAGCGUGUGUAGGCGGACUCGUAAGUGCUUUGUGAAAUCCCACGGCUCACCCGUGGAACUGCUUGGCAUACUGCGAGCCUUGAGCCACUUAGGGGCAACCGGAACAAACGGUGGAGCGGUGAAAUGCGUAGAUAUCUGGAGGAACACCGGCGGCGAAGGCGGGUUCCUGGGCCUUAACUGACGCUGAGACACGAAAGCUAGGGGAGCAAACAGG